This 250-nucleotide ribosomal RNA is filed under the name uncultured bacterium. Its description in RNAcentral is "partial 16S ribosomal RNA". It matches the Rfam family "Bacterial small subunit ribosomal RNA", at positions 524 to 773 of the family's 1533-position model. The record is from RNAcentral.
UACAGAGGGUGCAAGCGUUAAUCGGAAUGACUGGGCGUAAAGGGUGCGUAGGUGGCGUUUUAAGUUAGAUGUGAAAUCCCUGGGCUUAACCUAGGAACUGCAUUUAAUACUGGGACGCUAGAGUAUGGGAGAGGUAAGUGGAAUUUCCGGUGUAGCGGUGAAAUGCGUAGAUAUCGGAAGGAACACCAGUGGCGAAGGCGGCUUACUGGCCUAAUACUGACACUGAGGCACGAAAGCGUGGGGAGCAAAC